AUUCAUGCAGGGAGGCCUCAUCUCUUAAUUCUUCAAGAUGGUUGACACUCCGUGUUAGUAUUAUCAUUUCAGGUAACUGUGUUCCAAACUGAAUGGCUCUUUUAAGCUGAAAAUUCUGAAGAAUAACUUUCGGGUUUUGGUAGGAACGGAAAAGUCUAUCUUCCUCUCUCUCAAUGUGUAUUGUGUUCUUUAUUCUCCCUCUAUUUUCUUUUUUCUUUUUCAAGAGGGAGAGGGAGUGGAAUCUUGCAUUUGGAUAACCUCAUGUUCUUUCAGUUAUACUUUUUACCGCUUCGCGCUCACUCCCUAAAUCUCCAUUCAUGUUAGUUGCUGAAACAUUAUUUUUUUUUAUUAAAACAUGCAUAAUGCCUUCCCCAACUAGUUUGAGAGAAAAGCGUUCUUGAGUUUCUAAAAAAUGCAUGUUCAGAUAAUUGUCAUAUGGUUAUAAUCUAGGUUUUGCUUCAAAAGACGUUGAAGGCCUUUCUUCAAAUAGUCUGAAAUAUUACUUAUCAAGUAUGUGGUCAUAUUUAUAAAUUUGGUUUUCUGAUCAAGUCAUUCCUGUAAAAUUUUCAUGCUGUAUCAAUUUUCCAUUGAGCUCAUUUAGGAAAGUUGAAGAGCAAUGAAUCACAAUUAGAGUAUUAGACUACGACUGGAACUUCAGAAUGUUUCGUGCCAACCUCUUGUGAGUCAUGUUGCUCAACCAAGGCAAUGAAUUUCCUAAAACUGCUAGUAAGAAACCUAAUCUAAACAUAAGCUGGAGUAUAGUUACUUUUCAUUUUUUACAUGCACAAUUGUUGUCAUAAAUUGAGCAUAAAGUAGUGGAAUGCUAAAUUGCUAAUAAAGAAUCAUGGGUUAAUUUUCUGUUACAGCAGGUUAAAGAACCUUAAAAUACGUAACUGUUAUAUUUGUAAUUAAAGACUAACGGUAUAUCAUAACAUUUUAUUAGACAAUAGAAACUACUAGUAGUAAUGUUUAUCUAUAUUUUUCCUUUUUGUCCUUUUCUUUUUUUUUCCUUUUUAGGGGAGUGUAAUGGGGAAGCCAGUUGUUAGGGGUGUGACAUAAAGGUUGGCCCUGGUAUUUAUGCAUAUGCACUGGAGGGAUGAACUGGCAAGUCCAUAGAACCUACUUGGGGUGAUGCUAUCUUUUUAUUAUGGACCUGUCAGUUUAUUUACUUGUACAGAGUCUAUUCAAUUGUCCAGUCUAACACCGUAUGGGACAUCACUAGAGACAGACAGAAAACCAAUGAAGAACUCUGAAACUAGUAAUUAGCAAGUACCGAACUUGUUAAUCAGAAACUAUUAACAUUAAUAUGAGUAUCCCAUGCUAUAUUACACUUGCAUAAUUUCUCCUAGUUAUAGUUUUCUGCAUCUUUUAUCAUUUGUAAAUGAAGUUUUCUUCCUUGUGGUUACAUAUACAGUGAAAACAACGAGUUUAACUUUAGGGAUUUAGGGAUGAUAUUUUCACUUGGUCCUCUCUCACAUGAGUAUAUAGUGGGUCCACUUUCAUGUGAGAAGGAAUUAUGUAGAAAUAUCUAAAUCACAUGUAGAAAUAGUGUUCCCUAACUCUAUUAUCCACCCGUAGCAGCAUAAAUUAGAGAUCAUAAAUUGGCAGCUAGUUGAUCCUGAUUAACACAAUUUAUCAAAUUGUGUGGAGGAUGGGGACUUUUUUGAGAUUAGACAGCAUUUUUUGGUAGGUGCACCCAGGGGCGAAGCCACAUGUUAGUCAGUGGGGUCAAUUGCACCCACUGGAUUUUUUUUUAAUAUAUGAUAAAUAGAUUUUUUUUGAGGGUCAAAAGAGUCAAUUUGCACCCACUGAAAUUGGGUAUUACACUUUACUGAAAUUGGGUAUUACACUUUCCCGUUUCAAGAGAAUUUGCACCCACNNNNNNNNNNNNNNNNNNNNNNNNNNNNNNNNNNNNNNNNNNNNNNNNNNNNNNNNNNNNNNNNNNNNNNNNNNNNNNNNNNNNNNNNNNNNNNNNNNNNGUCUCCGAAUUCUCGCCAAAUUAUUUAUAACUUGGUAAUAAUUUCGCCCCCACUGAUACUAUUUUCUAGCUUUGCCACUGGGUGCACCAUCAAUUAGGUACAGGUUUAAUAGAUAAGUUUAUCCUUAGCCCCCUUCCUUUAUACACCAGAAAGCGAGGAAGGACCGGAAUACAUGUAGAAUAAUUUGUUGUAAAUUAGUAUUAGUUAAAGGGAUAAUGGAAACAACCAAAUGAUAGUUACUUUGUUUAUGAUAUUAAAUUUAGUACAUUUGAUUGUUCCAAGUUGGUCAUGUUUAGAAAUAUAGUCAUGGAAAAGGACUAGUGCAAGACUUUUUUAGCUUUAGGUAUGGCAAUCAUGAUUCGAAUCUCUCUCUCUCCCCCCAAGUUGGCUUGUUAUUGUUUACAGUAGGGUGGUUGUUAUGGCUCUGAUGUAAGAGUGGUCAUUGGUUUUAUUAGAGGUGUUAGAACAUCACAAAGGCAAGCUGGGAUUCUUCUAUUAUGAAUAUGGAGGAGGAUAGUGGUCGGUAUGAAUGGUAAGUUCAUUUCAUGAUUAAUACAUGAUUAAUACAGUACUGACAUGCAGACGAGAAGAUUAUCCUUCCGUUUAUAUGUUAGCACUGUAUUGGACAUGAAGUGAAUUUACCGUGAAGUUCACUUCAUGCUAACUGGAUUUAUAGAGGAGGUGCAGAGUAUUUUUGAAAAUUUUAUUAUUUGCGUGUCAAUAAGAAUGUCAUUUUAAAGACGUACCAGUGUAAUUUUUAAUGACAAUAUUGUUAUUAUCAUGUUAUAAUAUUUAAACUAAAUAUUUGUUCGGUAUAAAAAUAAUUAUGAGACGGUUAGCAGUAGUGUUUAUUGGGCGAGGCACGUCUAAUGGUGGAUGGGUUUAGGUCGGCAAUUCUGGGCCUCUAGUCCCUAUCAAUUGAAAUGAUAGGCUUGGGUGGGUGGGUGGCUGGGUGCGUGCGUGGGUGGGUGCGUUGGGGGUNNNNNNNNNNNNNNNNNNNNNNNNNNNNNNNNNNNNNNNNNNNNNNNNNNNNNNNNNNNNNNNNNNNNNNNNNNNNNNNNNNNNNNNNNNNNNNNNNNNNAAUAAGUUGGAUUUUUAAUUGGUAAUGUAAGGGUGAGGUGCCUAACAAAGACCCACCGGUGAUGAUUGCUUUUGGCACGUAGUGUUGAAGGCUCAGAGCAGGUUUAAGUGACACGUGUGAGCAUCAAGUUCUUUGCUUUGCUUUUUUGAUGAGCUGGUGGCAUGUAAGAGAGUUGUUGGUUUAACUCUUUAUCACUUUACUAAUUUGCCUGUGUGUUUGCUCGUAAAUACCCAUACUGCUAACUCUUUUUUUUUUUUCUCUUUAUAAUACAAUUUUUAUAUAUAUGAGAAAAUGAGUGCUGAAAAUUGAAGUCUCGCUAACUAGUGGAGGGGUUGCUAACAAGGGGAGAGGAGUGUGUUUCUUCACCGCUAUCGGCGGUCUAAAUGAAUCGAGUUAAGUAUUUAGUUAUUUAAAUUUGGUUCAAUAAAUUUAUUGAGUAUAAAAUAGUAUUUGAUUGAGAUUCGUUUAGUUACUGAAUAGAGCAUAAUUUCAAAUUGAGUACGAACGGUUUAAAUUUUUUGAACGAAUAUGAUCUGAGUAUCAAUAGAAAAUUAUAGUUUGAGUAAGUUUGAAUAAUUUAUCAAAUUUUAAAAUUUGUUCACAAGUAUGGAUCAAGUCCGAAUUAUUUACUCAUUUUAUAACCUUAAUCACCAAUGCUACCACCCUAAUUCUCACUAACCAUUAGCAAACCCAGCACCGGUUAGUAGCCUAGUAUUUAGAAGUUCUAACUUAGGGUUAGUUUGUAUAUGGGCGUUUAUACUGUUGGUUUAUAGUGUUUUGACUUUUUAAACGCAUUACAUUAGCUAUAGUACGGAGUUUGCUGCAUACACUUAAUUUUAAGAUAAUUGGGAAAAAAUAGUUAUUAAUUGCGCGACUCGGGCCGGUAUUAUUGUUUCCUAAUGUCCAAAAAAAGAAUAGAACUGAAAAAGGUGACCGGUUUAGAGGCCACGAUUCCAUUUCAAAAUUAUGACAGAAACAAACAACAAUCCAAAAUAAUCCAAUCUCUUUCACUAAAAUGUAAGUAAACGUUCUGAGCUUCUCAUAAAUUGGGAAAUUAAAGAGGAGUAUAUAGCUCUCGAGUACAGCACAUGAACCGCUGACUUUGACGUUAAUGAACUUUGAAAUCAACUGCAGAAGCUUUAUGUGAAACUAUGAAUCAGUCAGACUUUAAGCUAAGCUUUGCUUUGCUUGUACUAGUUCUUAGUUAUUGUUUGUAUGGAAAAUAGUCGAAAUACAUUGGACUGGCCAGUCUUUUGCACCCUCUUAACAUGAUAAAUUGUUUCUUGUUUAAUACUCCUACUCCUACUUAAUCUUUUUCACUUACCAAUAGGAAAUAGCAAUAUGAAUUUACCACAAAAUAAAUAAAUCAGGGAUGUGUAUAGCUGUCUAGAUUAGAUUAAUUAUUCCUCACAAAAAAAAUGUAUAUUUGAUACACGAAUUUAACAUUAAUGUGAGAAAGAACUAAAUAUUAAUUCUUUAUCUGAUUUACAUAAAAUUAGUGCCUUUUUUUGCGGCUAAGCUAGAAUGAUUGUACUAUUGCAAUUGUUUGGUUUGGAUUUCAAAUGAUUUAAAUUAGAUAGUUGUAUUUGAAUGAAUGAGAGUUAUAAUUGUGUAAUUAUAUAAUAUUUAAAUUUUAUUUUUUUUAUAAAAAAAAUGGUCAUUCGAAAGGUAACUUUGAUGAUCAUUAAUACUAUUUAGUUAUAAAUUGCUGAAUUAGAUGGUCCGUUUGACCAUUUUUAACUACUUGGAAUCAUAAUUUGUAAUUAUAUUCACCUUCUAUAGAUAAAAUAGAUGGAUCAUGAAAGGACAAGGUACUUGAAAGAGUGGAUGCUCCACUCUAAUGUUGCGCCGCACCACAGACUUCUUCCACCUUUCGAGUGAUCGUUUACUACUACUCCUAGUCGACUACGUACAAAGUAAGCAUUGAAGCGAUA
This 4994-nucleotide long non-coding RNA is filed under the name Panax ginseng (ginseng). RNAcentral's name for it is "long non-coding RNA (PGIN_LNC017559)". Lineage: Eukaryota; Viridiplantae; Streptophyta; Magnoliopsida; Apiales; Araliaceae. The record is from RNAcentral.